RNAcentral lists this long non-coding RNA (933 nucleotides) under Gallus gallus (chicken). RNAcentral describes it as "long non-coding RNA NONGGAT001337". Lineage: Eukaryota; Metazoa; Chordata; Aves; Galliformes; Phasianidae. The record is from RNAcentral.
CGCCACUUCCUUUUGGUCUUGUUUUGCUUAAUUGCAAGGAUUCUGCACUUGAAGGUGAAUUACUUACCUUUGGGCAAUACAGCAGGAAGGAAGCACACCUCCCCAUGGCUGCUCCAAAGAACCGCUGCUGUGAAAGUGACAGCGUUGAAUUCAAUGCCACAUACUUUGCUAUAUCAAAAUUGCCUUAAUGUGUCUGGAAAUCCUACACCAAAUGCUGCAAAGAGAAACAAAGGACUGUUGUGCUCCACCACAGCAACGUUCUCUAAAGACAACAGGGCAGAACGACCUGUCAGCAACGCCAGCACCUUCAGAUGCGGUGCCUGAACACUGGGAUCCUACAGGGAUACACAGAUCGCCAUGAGGAGAGAUGUGCUGGCUGGAAAAGCCGUGUCCCUCCAUGAACUGAGGGGCUCUGUUCUACAGGAGCACAGCUUGAGCACUUCUGUUCUGAGGACACUGAGCUCCACGCUGGCACUGGUGCUCUGCAUUACGGACAGCACUAAACAAGGAAGGCUGUGCUGCAUGCUACGUGAAGGGGCCAGACCCGGCCUGCUGCCACUCAUCUGCCUCCUGACAAUGGUCUUGCUAUCGAUCCUUCGUGGGGAAAUGUGUGUGCCCAUGACAAAUGGUUACUAAAAUGAUCCACUGCAUCAGACCACAAAAUCGCUAUUCAGUUAUAAACUUUGCAAUCUGUUUUACAAAAUUAGUAAUGGAUACAAUCAUAAGGAGAAACCAUCCACACGAUACAUUAUCAACACACGGUUUAAAACGGUCUAAUUUCAGACCCUUAGUAAAAACGGAUCCACAGGACCUGCCUGUGAAUGGCAAGAAAAGGCCAUUUCAAAUAGAAAAACACUGCUCAUGCAACAUUCUUCACACACAAGACAAUGAAAUCACACCCAAAUAGUCGCCUGCUCACACUUUCUAUUACAU